AUUGAACGCUGGCGGCAGGCCUAACACAUGCAAGUCGAGCGGAGCGGCGGACGGGUGAGUAAUGCCUAGGAAUCUGCCUGGUAGUGGGGGAUAACGUCCGGAAACGAGCGCUAAUAACGCCUACUAUCAGAUGAGCCUAGGUGGGCUUAGCUAGUUGGUGGGGUAAAGUCCUACGAAGGCGACGAACCGUACCUGGUCUGAGAGGAUGAUCAGUCACACUGUAACUGAGACACGGUCCAGACUCCGACGGGAGGCAGCAGUGGGGAAUAUUGGACAAUGGGCGAAAGCCUGAUCCAGCCAUGCCGCGUGUGUGAAGAAGGUCUUCGGAUUGUAAAGCACUUUCAGUUGGGAGGCGUUACCAACAGAAUAAGCACCGGCUAACUUCGUGCCAGCCGCCGCGGUAAUAC
This 407-nucleotide ribosomal RNA is filed under the name uncultured bacterium. Its description in RNAcentral is "partial 16S ribosomal RNA". It matches the Rfam family "Bacterial small subunit ribosomal RNA", at positions 30 to 526 of the family's 1533-position model. The record is from RNAcentral.